Molecule: ribosomal RNA, 520 nt
Filed under: uncultured Glomus
Lineage: Eukaryota; Fungi; Glomeromycota; Glomeromycetes; Glomerales; Glomeraceae
Description: SSU rRNA
Rfam family: Eukaryotic small subunit ribosomal RNA
Source: RNAcentral
AGCAGCCGCGGUAAUUCCAGCUCCAAUAGCGUAUAUUAAAGUUGUUGCAGUUAAAAAGACUCGUAGUUGAAUUUCGGGGUUAGUAGGUUGGUCAUGCCUCUGGUAUGUACUGGUCUCACUGAUUCCUCCUUCCUGAUGAGCCUUAAUGCCAUUAAUUUGGUGUUUUGGGGAAUUUGGACUGUUACUUUGAAAAAAUUAGAGUAGUUUAAAGCAAGCUAACGCUUGAAUACAUUAGCAUGGAAUAAUGAAAUAGGACGUUCGAUCCUAUUUUGUUGGUUUCUAGGAUUGACGUAAUGAUUAAUAGGGAUAGUUGGGGGGCAUUAGUAUUCAAUUGUCAGAGGUGAAAUUCUUGGAUUUAUUGAAGACUAACUACUGCGAAAGCAUUUGCCAAGGAUGUUUUCAUUAAUCAAGAACGAAAGUUAGGGGGAUCGAAGACGAUCAGAUACCGUCGUAGUCUUAACCCAUAAACUAUGCCGACUAGGGAUCGGAUGAUGUUAAUUUUUAAUGACUCAUUCGGCGC